UAACUUCGGGAAACCGGAAGCUAAUACCGGAUAAUAUAUUGAACCGCAUGGUUCAAUAGUGAAAGACGGUUUUGCUGUCACUUAUAGAUGGAUCCGCGCCGCAUUAGCUAGUUGGUAAGGUAACGGCUUACCAAGGCAACGAUGCGUAGCCGACCUGAGAGGGUGAUCGGCCACACUGGAACUGAGACACGGUCCAGACUCCUACGGGAGGCAGCAGCC
RNAcentral lists this ribosomal RNA (219 nucleotides) under uncultured Staphylococcus sp. RNAcentral's name for it is "partial 16S ribosomal RNA". It matches the Rfam family "Bacterial small subunit ribosomal RNA", at positions 144 to 355 of the family's 1533-position model. Lineage: Bacteria; Bacillati; Bacillota; Bacilli; Caryophanales; Staphylococcaceae. The record is from RNAcentral.